RNAcentral lists this ribosomal RNA (492 nucleotides) under uncultured bacterium. Its description in RNAcentral is "partial 16S ribosomal RNA". It matches the Rfam family "Bacterial small subunit ribosomal RNA", at positions 29 to 507 of the family's 1533-position model. The record is from RNAcentral.
AGUGAACGCUGGCGGUAGGCCUAACACAUGCAAGUCGAACGGCAGCACAGUAAGAGCUUGCUCUUACGGGUGGCGAGUGGCGGACGGGUGAGGAAUACAUCGGAAUCUACUUUUUCGAGGGGGCUAACGUAGGGAAACUUACGCUAAUACCGCAUACGACCUACGGGUGAAAGUAGGGGAUCUUCGGACCUUGCGCGAUUGAAUGAGCCGAUGUCGGAUUAGCUAGUUGGCGGGGUAAAGGCCCACCAAGGCGACGAUCCGUAGCUGGUCUGAGAGGAUGAUCAGCCACACUGGAACUGAGACACGGUCCAGACUCCUACGGGAGGCAGCAGUGGGGAAUAUUGGACAAUGGGCGCAAGCCUGAUCCAGCCAUACCGCGUGGGUGAAGAAGGUCUUCGGGUUGUAAAGCCCUUUUGUUGGGAAAGAAAAGCAGCAGGUUAAUACCCCGCUGUUUUGACGGUACCAAAAGAAUAAGCACCGGCUAACUUCGUG